Long non-coding RNA from Microcebus murinus (gray mouse lemur), 3723 nucleotides. Lineage: Eukaryota; Metazoa; Chordata; Mammalia; Primates; Cheirogaleidae. The record is from Ensembl.
UAAAGGGGCGGGAUGAGAAGGAAACGGCCCCUAUAAAGCUCCCUCCUGCCCUGACCAAGCCAAGUCUGAGGGAGCUGGCGCCCAGCAGAGCUCAACUCCUUCCUGACGGGCGUGGGGUGAGGCGGCGCUGCUUGAGGACAGACUGUUUUCCAAGGUGAGCGCUGUUCCUGUGGCAGCAUGCAGACACACCAAGGACCCACCCUCAGGAUCCCCGGUGCUGAAGAUGGUGUCUCCAGGCCCCCUGAAAUUACCACUGAAGGAGAGUGUGACUGCCCUUGUUGUAGGUGUGGUUUCUUUGCUGUGAUUCGCUGGUGCAUGAGGAGGCCCGAUGAAGAAGAUUGUUUGUCGAACAUCUCGGAAGUGUCUAUAAAAGGGAGAGUUAGCACACCUUUCGGUCACUGUGCUUCCAGUGGUACUUUUCGGCGGAAUCACCAGCUUUCUGUUGACGAGGGUGAGGGAGCAGCUUCCUCUCCCGGGAGAGCACCUGGGGGGGCCACCGGGCAGGUGGGAGGCCCGGGACAAGUCCUAGGGGAGGGAGAGGCCCCCAUGCCCCAGUCCCUGCCCUGGGCACCCCUCGUCUCCUCCGGUGGCCACAGCCCAUGCUGAGCCGGCCCCUGCCCUUGCAGAGAUAAAUGCAGACUCGUGGGGACAAGUGGACUCCCAGGGGCCUCACCCAGACCCGGAGGACAGGAAGGAAGGCUCCACCUGCACAGGAGUGCUGUAGCGCCACGUGCUGGACACAUUUUAAAUUUUGAGUAUGGGCAAAGUACACUUUUGGGCAAAAAAAUAAAAAUUCAUUGAACACACAAUGAUUGAGCACCUACAGCAUGCCUGACUCUGUGCCAGAACCAGGCUGUGGGUUCCAGUAUUCUGGGUCCUUUGAGGCCCAGCUCCAAUCCCACCAUCCCUGGAGCCCCCUUCCCAGAGCUGCCUGGCCUGGGCCGUCCCUCAGACCAGGGGACUUAACUGGGGCUUCUGACCUGCAGGCCUCACACCCUGGGCCCUCAGCCUGGGGGACCAGCCACUGGCCUGGACACUAGGUGGGGCCCCUGAGGCCUCCCCUUCGUGCUGCCCUUGGACUGAAAUGGGGCAGUGGGAUCCCCGGGCUGGGCUCCUGGGAAUCCAAAGAAGCCCUGACUCUCCCUGCAGGGACCUGCAGGGCAGCUCUCCUGGUUGACUUGAAUCUACCCAGUUCUCUGUCUUCUUUGUAGUUCUCGACAAUAACUAUAGAAUGCUGAGAACACAACAUCCUGAGAUAGAGAGGCACUGCCAGAAACAGCCCAGGCCUUGUUGCUGUAGCUCCUAGGGAAUGAAACAUCUUGAGUUAAAGGAGUGUCCACCUAAAGGACAAAACUGGGAUGUCCGUGGUGGCUCCCACCUGUAGUCCCAGCUCUUUGGGAGGCCAAAGCGGGAGGAUCACUCCAGCCCGGGAGUCUGAGGUUGCUAUGAUCGCACCUCUGCACUCCAGCCUGGGCAACAGAGCAAGCCUGUCUCAGGAAAAAAAAAAAAAAAAGAAAGAAACCGAAGCAAAAUUCAUGUAAGUACAGAGUUUAUUUGGGCCAAGAUGGGGACAGCUGCCUGGAAGACUCAUACCCUGGUCACCUGGUAUAGGAGCUCCUUUCAGCCUUUGCUAUACAAGCAGGUUUUUAAAGGCAAAAAGGCAGACAAGGAGUGUGCUGAUGGGAAGUUGUUUGUCAGGAAUUCCCAUUGUUUAGAGAAAUGACAUUGAUUAGUGAGGGGCUGUACAUUGUUGAACUAUAGGGUAUGAGUUAUGGUGUCCAGCAUGUGGCAUUUUUUGGUGAAUUUAUAGCUACCUCUGGCAACAGUCCCCAGCCCAUGGGGAGCAGCCUCAGAUGACUGCUCAGCCCAAGGCAGGAGUGGGACAGGGCUGCCUGGCCAUCUGGAGGAGGUGCCCAUUCCUGAGAUAGAAAGUUUCUUUUCUUUCUUACUAGGAACUACCCGGGACAGCCCGGCAUUGUUCCUCCUUCCCCUGGAAGCAGGAUGUCCUUCAAGCUUUCCCCAGUGGGUCCUGCAGCUCUCCAGCUGUAUAACCCGGGGUGAGCUGCCUUCGGGGCCCCUCAGCUGCAGUACAAGUAGGACAUGCGCAGUGGAGGCUCGUCCACCCCAGGCAGCAUUCCUGAGCCUUGGGGGACCCGCUCUGUUGUCCCUGACUGACUGUAAGUAAUAAACCCUCUUCUGAUGACUUUCUCUGCGUGAGUGCAUUCUGUGUCACCGGACUCAGGUGCGGCACACUGCAGCCAGAAUGCAGGGGGUGGAAGGAACCAUUUGGACUCCUGUUCCUGGCAGGUGGCACAGUGAUGGUCCCUGCUGUCCUCCACUCAGGAAUCCUCCCUUGGGAUUGGCUCUGAGUGACCUGCUUCCCAGGACCUGUCUCCAGGAGGCCUCAGGCCCCCUCCUGCUGGUCCUCCCCAGGAAGCCCGCAAGACCACCCAAGCUAUACAGGCCCCUUGAAGCCUCUCAGGACUGAUGCCCCCCCCUGGUGCAGGGGACACUGCCAAGAAAGGUGGCUCCAGGGUUCUGCAGAGGAGCAGGUUGGCCCACGGUUUUCAGUGGGCAGGGAGGGGCACCAUCCUGCCUGAAGGACAUGACUUUGCCACAUGUUCCUUGUGGGUGGUUCUGCGGCUGAGGAAAAUUCCUGGGAACCUCAAGCCCGUCCUAAGCCCCCUGGCUGCCAUCCUUGCUAGAGGAGCUGAAGGAAACACAGAGUUACCUCAUUGAACAGGAGGUGAGGGGUCCCCCCAGAAACGCUGGGGGCAAAGGCCUCUGCCUCCAGGUACUUUCCCACACCUGGUCCUUAAUCUUUGAAAACUGCCACUGCCAGUAAGAAAACAGAUUGUUUUUAAAAUGUACAGUUUGGAAGCUAAUGCAAGAAAACCGUGAGCACACUUAUGUAGAGUUUAUUUGAGCAUUUAGCGACUCAUGAAAACUGUAGCACCAGACUGCAGGCAGCCAGCGCUCAUGGCAGGGUGGAGGGGAAACUCUUAUCAAGUGUUUGCAGAAGCCAGACAAAGAAAACUAUUUUGAUUGGUUAGAGUAGAAAGUUCCUAGUUAGAGAUGAGUUGGAGGUUUCUGACUGGUGCAGUUUCUAGUUUAAAUUUAUUGUUUGCACUGGGCUUUAGUUUGUUCACGUAGGAAUUUAAAGUGCCAGCGCCACCCCAGUGUAAUGGCCUCCCAAGUAGAAUUUUUUUUUAAACAAUUCCCCCCUUUUGGCCAGCCUCUUUCUUAUGAGAAAUUUACCAAAACUUGGGCACGAGUGCCAUUGUCUGUCACCAUCAUGAGUGAGCUGUCGUCUUCUCUGUGAGAAACUCCUAAGUCACAACAUGAGGCUCAUUGAAGAAAGAUUCCUUUUAUUGUUCAUCUCAGGCUUUUUUUUUUUUUUUUUUUUUUUUUUUGCUCUAAUCACAGGGAGACCAUCUGGCUACCGUGAGUGGCACACGCACACAUUGAAGGCCGUUGAGGGACUACAGCUGUCAACCCAAAAUAAUCAGAAAGUCAAAGGUCUAAUUUAAAGAGAGGUUUAUUCAAGCGCAAAGUCCAGAGAAAUGGAGUCAGUGUUCCAAAGUAGGGAAGUUAAGGUUUGGUUUAUAUAGUCAGAGGCAGAGGACUUUUGAAGCAAUGUUACAUUAUUCAUACGAGGUUGGUGCACAGGUAAGCAGUCUGACUGCUUAUUAUAGGCAGUGUUUCUUUUUGGGAAGGGUACGU